CCAGCCCCAGCCCCAGCCCCAGCCCCAGCCAUCACCCCUAAAGUCAUUCCCAACUUGCAUUGAUUUGGUGCUAAAAAUAAAUUGUCCAUUGUUUGUCCAUAAGAUUGGAAUAUUCUUCCUCUAGCAUUGCUUAUUUCCUGAGUUGACUACCUGAGUCGUUUCCAAUUAAUGUACACAGUCCCAUUUGUCCCCUGUCCCAUGUUAGAACAAUCCAAACCUUGUGUUCUUGUUAGAAAAUGUUGGUUGAAAGCUUCAUAUCAGACACCUAUUGUUCAUAAUUUUGGUUAUUAUCUUUCCCCUGCCCUUGAGGAAGGAGAAACCAUUCCUCUGUCAUUGGUGCAGUAGUCACAGUCCCAGUUUUCUGGGCAGUGUUCAUAAAUUGUGCUGAUCACCUGAACACUACACUGAGUAUAAUUUUAAUUGUCCAUAAUCCUGCCCAUUGGAUUGGAUCCCAGUCCAAAACCCUUUUGCUGAAUUCAGAAGUGGGUGCAGAAAACAUGAGUCUUCAAACAGUUAACAUGCUCAGUCCCAAUCAUAUCAGCCUUGUUCAUUAAACAAAGGCACUCUACCAUUUUUGUCCUGCUUCUGGAAUUAAGGUACCAAAUUGUAAUUGUACGUUGUCUUGCCCAGUAAUCAAUGUCCCUUCAUCCCCUUUGCAUUGCUACUAGGAAGUACUACCUGGGACCAUGUUCCUUGAAUGAUUAAUGAGUAUAAUCCCAAUUGUCCACACCCCUGUUCAUUACACAAAUCCUUUGCAACUUUGCAUUGUCGCAGAGGUGCCCAUCCUCUCUAAGUUCUUUACUUUGGGAUAUUAAUGCAUAUAGUCAUCAUUGUUCUUGGUCCUGCCUAAAAGAUAAGAUCCACCCAUGCUCUUUUCAUUACUCCUAGGUAGCGCAGACUGCUUACUACCUAGUAUUAAUAUGUAAAAAUCCUCACUGCCCGUUGCCCCAACAGUUAGUCUGGGAUACAACCUUAUCUUUAUGCCAUUGCUUAUGAGGAGUUCUGAUUACCCGAGGUCACUUCCUUUAAACAGUUGAUGUGCAUAAUUGCAUAUAUCCAUGGUGCUGUGCAAUAAAAAAUGAAAUCCCACCCUAUCCUAAUCUCUUUGGGAUAUUGCUAGGGAGUGCAGAUUAUGCAAGAACUCAGUUCUUGGACAGUUAAUUUGCACCGUUACAGUUGUACAGAGUCCUGUCUAUUUGAAAGGGCCAUUGUAUCCCAUUUGCACGCUAUAAUGUGGGCUGAUAACUCAAGGAUCCUCUGGCAUUGAUAAUUUUCAUAAUUGCAUUGGCACAUGUUCUGUGAACUAGCCACACCCAAUCCCUUUGUAUUCUAACGGGACCUUUACUAAAGAACUAUACACAUAGGACACUAUGUGUACAAUAUUAAUUGAUUAGACUGAGCCUUUUGUAUUAGGAAUUCUGCACCAUCUUUACAUCUAAAAGGUGCUAAUUAUUGAAGGCUCUUUUCUUAAAAUUGUUUGUAUGCAAAAUUGUGAUCCCCAGUGUCUCCUGUAGUUAACUUAGAACCCCAUUUCCACCUAACUCCCUUUGCAUGACUGCAGAGGCUACUUGGGCCCUUUAAGGGCUUAAGGCAGUUAUGUUCCCUUCUGUGCUCUCAUUCCCUCCUACUUCCUUUGCAUUACUGAACUGAACAUUUGGAAAUGUUAAUGUUCUUAAUCGCAGCUAUUAAUCCCUUUUGUUAGUCCAGGUUCCUAUCUCUUCCUACUCAUUUUAUAUUAGCAUAAAAUGUCCAGGGGACUAUUAUUGUGCUUAAAUGCAGCUCUGUCCCUUAUGUUAGUGUAGGAUUCCAUCCUCUUCAACUCCCUGUGCGUUACAGCAGAGUUGUACAGCUGGGAUCUUUAAGGUCCUCAAAGGCAGCUGCGGUGCCUUCUGUCCAUCUAGGAUCCCAUCCCCUCCUACUUCCUUUGCAUUUUUGCAGAGGAUACUGGGGACUGUAACAUGGAUAAUUGCUGCCAGAGUCCUUUCAGCUUGUCUAGGAUCCCAGCCUCCUCCCUCUCACUGAGUUUGCAUUACAGAGAGUACAAGGGACUGCUAAUGUGCUUAAAUGGCAGCUAUGGUCUCUCUUAACCUAGGAUCCCUUCCUCAUCUAAAUUCCUUUGCAUUAUUGCAGAGGGUACUUGAGACUGUUGAUAUGCGUAAUUGCAGUUACAUCCCUGGGCUUGGAUCCUAUCCCCAUCUGUUCCCUUUGUGAAGGGUGCAAUGGGAUGAUUAAUGAGAUUAUUGCAGCUGUAGUUCCUUCUGUUAAUCUAGUUUCUCUUGUGCUCCUACUUCUUUUGCAAUACAACGGAGGGUAGUUGAGAUCUUUGAGGUGCUUAAAGACGGUCUGUGGCCCCUUCUGUUAUGUUCCCAUCCUCUCUUAUUUUGCAUUACUGCAGAGGAUACUUGGGACUCUGAAUGUGCCUGCUUGCCACUAUAGUCCCUUCUGUUAUCUGGGAUCCCAUCCCCUCCUACAGCAUUUGCAUUACCACAGAAGGUACAAGGGACUAUUAAUGUGCAUAAAGGCAGCUAUGGUUUCUUCUCUUAACCUGGGAUCCAGCCCUCCUCUAACUUCCUUUGCAUUAUUGCAAACAGUACUUGAGACUGUUAAUGUCCUUUAAGGCAGCUGUGGUUGCUUACAUCACUGUAAGAUUCCAUUUUCUUUAAUGCCCUGUGCAUUACUGCACGGGGUACUUGGGCACUUGAAGGUGCUUAAAUGCAGCUGUGGCCCUUUCUGAUAGUUUAUGUUCCUGUCCCCUCCUAUUUCCUUUGCAUUACUGCUGAAGCUACUUGGGACUGUAAAUGGGCUUAAUUGCAGUUACAAUCCCUUCUGUUAGCUUUGCAUUAGCACAACAGUGUAUAUGGGACUGUUAAUGUGCUUAAGUGAAGCCUUGCCCCUUAUGUUAAUGUAGGAUUCCAUCCUCUCCAGCUCCCUAUGCAUUAUAGUGGAGGAUACCUGGUACCCAAAGGUGCUUGAAUGUAGCUGUGAUGCCUUCUGUCAGUCUAGAAUCCCAUUCCCCUUCUAUUCCCUUCACAUUACACGGCGGGGCAUUUGGGACUGUUCCUGUGCUUAACUGCGGUUGCAGUCCCUCCUGUUAGUCUAGUUUCCCAGGCCCUCCUACUUCCUUUGCAUUACAGCAGAGGGUACUUGAGACCUUUAAGCUGUUUAAUUGCAGCUGUGGUUCCUUCUGUUCGUCUAGGAUCUCACAUCCUUGAACUCCCUUUGUAUUCCCUGGGAUUGUUUUUGGGACUGUUAAAGUGCUUAGCUGCAGCUGUGGUCCCUUUUCUUUGUCUAGCGUCCCAUCCCUUCCUACUCACUUUGUAUUAUCUGGAAGUGGAUUUGGGACUAUUAAUGUGCUCAUUUGCAACUGUGGUCCCUUUUCUUAGUCUGGGUCCUACAUGUUCCAACUCCUGCACACAGCAGGGACUACUUGGGACUAGUAAUAUGUUUAAUCUUACCUGUGGUCCCUUCCAGUAGUCUAGGAUGCCAUCCACCUUCUAUUGGCUUUGCAUUAGCACACAGUGUACACAGGACUGUUAUUGUGCUUAAAUGCAGCUUUGUCUCUUAUGUUAAUGUAGGAUUCCAUUCUCUCUAACUCUCUGCAUUAUAGAAGAGGGUACUUGGCACCUUUAAGGUGCUUGAACGUAGCUGUGGUGCCUUCUGUCAGUCUAGGAUCCCAUUCCCAUUCUACUCCUUUUACAUUACAUGGCAGGGCAUUUGGGACUGUUCAUGUGCUUAACUGCAGUUACAGUCCGUUCUCUUAGUCUAGGAUUCUGUGCCCUCCCACUUUCUUUGCAUUAGAGCAGAUGGUGUUUGGGACUGUUAAUGAGCUAAAUUGCAGCUAUAGUCCCUUCUGUUAAUCUAGUUUCCCAUGCACUCCUACUUCCUUUCAUUUUAGCAGAGGGUACUUGAGACCUUUAAGGUGCUUAAAUUCAGGUAUGGCCCCUUCUGUUUUUCUUCCCAUCUCCUUCUACUUCUUUGCAUUACUGCAGAGGCUCCUUGGGACGGUAAAUGUGCGUAAUUGGCACUAUAGUCCUGUUUGUCUAGAUUCUUAUCCUUUCCUGCAUGGUUUGCAUUAACAAAGAGAGUACAAGGGACUGUUAAGGCGCUUAAAUUUAGCUACUGUCUUUUCUUUUAACUUAGGUUCCCAUCCUCACCUAAUUUUCUUUGCGUUAUUGCAGAGGGUACUUGAGACUGCUAAUUAACCAGUUGUCCCUUCUGUUAGACUAGGAACCCAUUCCCACAUACUCCCUUUACAUUAUCAUGGAGGGUACAUGGGACUGUUAAUAUGCAGACCCUUAUGUUAGUGUAGGAUUCCAUCCUGGCCAACUCCCUGUGCAUUACAGCAGAGGGUAAUUUUGACUUUCAUGGUGCUUAAAGGGUUAGUGUAUGUUCCUAUCCUCUCCUACUUUGCAUUACUGUAGAGGAUUUUUGGGACUGUUAGCAUGCCUGAUUGCUGCUACAAUCCCUUCUGUUAGUCUAGCAUCACAUCGCAUCCCAUUCCAUACCGUUUGCAUUACCGCAGAGGGUACAAGGGAUUGUUAGUGUGCUUAAACGCAGCUACGAUCUCUUCUGUUAACCUAGGAUGUGGUCCCCACCUAACUCCGCAUUAUUGCAGAAGGUGCUUGGAACUGUUAAUGUGCUCUAAUGCAGCUACCGUCCCUUUUGUUAGACUAGGAUGCCAUCUCUAUCUACUCCUUUUGCAUUAUCAUGGAGCAUCCAGGGGACUAUUAAUGUGCUUAAAUGAAGCCAUGGUCCCUUAAGUGUAGGAUUCCACCUCUUCAACUCCCUAUGCAUUACAGCAGAGGGUAGUUGGGAUCUUCAAGGUCCUCAGAGGCAGCUCUGGUGCUUUCUGUUAGUCUAGGAUCCUAUCCCCUCCUACUACUUUGCAUUUCUGCAGAGGAUACUUGGGACUGUUAAUGUGCCUAAUUGCCACUACAGUCCCUUCUGUUUGUAAUCGCAUCCUCUCCUAAACUGGCAUUGCUACAGAAGGUUCAAGGGACAAUUAACUGUUUAAAUGCAGCUACUGUCUCUUUUGUUCUAGGAUCCUAUCCUCAUUUCGGGUUUCCAUUUACUACAGUAGGCACAAGGGACUGCUAAUGUGCCUAACUGCCACUACAGUCCCUUCUGUUUGUCUAGGAUCCUGUUCCCUCCUACAGGGUUUGCAAUACCAUAAAAAGUACAAGGGACUGUUAAUGUGCUUCAAGGCAGCUAAGGUCUCUUCAGUUAACCUAAGAUUCCAUCCCUGCCUAUUUCCAUUUGCAUAAUUGCAGAGGGUACUUGGGACUGUUAAUAUGCUUAAAUGCAGCUAUGAUCCCUUAUGUUAAUGUAGGAUUCCAUGCUAACUUCCUCUGCAUUGCGAUAGAGGGUAUUUGGGACCUUUAAGGUGCUUAAAGCUGCGUCCCCUUGUUUGUUUCCAUACUCUCCUACAUUGCAUUACUGCAGAGGAUACGUGGGACUGUUAAGAUGCCUACUUGCCACUAUAGUCUUUUCUGUUUGUCUAGGAUCCCAUGCCCUCCUACAGGGUUUGCAUUACCUCCAAUGGUGCGAGGAACAGUUAAUAUGCUAAAGUGUACUUGAGGUCCCUUCUGUUAGAUUAGAAUUCUAUCCCCUUCUAUUUCCUUUGCAUUAUCAUGGAGGGUAUAUGGGACCAUUAAUGUGCUUAAAUGUAGCUACAGCCCAUAUGUUAGUUUAGGGAUUUCAUCCUUUCUAACUCCCUGUGCAUUACAGCAGAGUUGGGUAGUUGGAAUCUUCAAGGUCCUCAAAAAGACAGCUGUGGUACUUUCUGUUAGUGUAGGAUCCCAUCCCCACCUAACUUCCUUAGCAUUACAUAGAGGGUACUUGAGACCUUUUAAGGUGUUUAAAUGCAGCUGUGUCUCCUUCUGUUUAUGUUUCCGUCCUCUCCUAUUUUACAUUACUGCAGAGGAUACUUGGGACUGUUAAUGUGCAUAAUUGGUGCUAUAGUCCCUUCUGUUUGUCUAGGAUCCCGUGCCCUCCUACAGGGUUUGCAUUACCACUGAGGGUGUGAGGGACUGUUAAUGGGCUCUAAUGCAGCUAUGGUCCCUUCUUUUAGACUAGGAUCCUAUCCCUACCUACUCCCUUUGCAUUAUCAUGGAACAUCCAUGGGACUGUUAAUGUGCUUAAAUGAAGCCAUGGUCCCUUUAAGGGUAGGAUUCCAUCCUCUUCAACUCCCUAUGCAUUAUAGCAGAGGGUAGUGGGAUCUUUAAGCUCCUCAAAGGCAGCUAUGAUGCCUCUGUUCGUCUAGGAUCCCAUCCCCUUCUACUUCCUUUGCAUUUCUGCAGAGGAUACUUGGGGGACUGUUAAUGUGCUUAAUUGCCACCGGAGUCUCUUUAGUUAGUCUAGGAUUCCAUCCGCACCUACUCAGUUUGCAUUAGAGUUUACAUGAGACUAUUAAAGUGCUUAAAUGAAGCUGCUAUGGUCCCUUAUAUUAAGGUAGAAUCCUAUACCCACUUAACUCCUUUUGCAUUACACGUAAUGUUUAUGAGUCUCUUAUAUGCUUAAGUGAAGCCUUGCCCCUUAUGUUAAUGUAGGAUUCCAUCCUCUCCAGCUCCCUAUGCAUUAUAGCGGAGGAUACCUGGCACCCAAAGGUGCUUGAAUGUAGCUGUGGUGCCUUCUGUCAGUCUAGAUCCCAUUCCCCUUCUAUUCCCUUCACAUUACGCGGCGGGGCAUUUGGGACUGUUCCUGUGCUUAACUGCGGUUGCAGUCCCUCCUGUUAGUCUAGUUUCCCAUGCCCUCCUACUUCCUUUGCAUUGCAGCAGAGGGUACUUGAGACCUUUAAGCUGUUUAAUUGCAGCUGUGGUCCCUUCUGUUCGUCUAGGAUCUCACAUCCUUGAACUCCCUUUGUAUUCCCUGGGAUUGUUUUUGGGACUGUUAAAGUGCUUAGCUGCAGCUGUGGUCCCUUUUCUUUGUCUAGGGUCCCAUCCCUUCCUACUCACUUUGUAUUAUCUGGAAGUGGAUUUGGGACUAUUAAUGUGCUCAUUUGCAACUGUGGUCCCUUUUCUUAGUCUGGGUCCUACAUGUUCCAACUCCUGCACACAGCAGGGACUACUUGGGACUAUUAAUAUGUUUAAUUUUACCUGUGGUCCCUUCCGGUGGUCUAGGAGCCCAUCUCCUACACAUUAGCUGGUGGUAUUUGGAACUAAAAAGUACUUAAUUGCAUCUGUGAUCCCUUCUGUUGUUAUAGGAUCCCAGUGUUCUCCAAAUAUAUUACAGCAGAGGGCAUUGGACUGUUAAUAGGCUUAACUGUAGCUGUGGUCCCUCCUGUUAGUCUCGUAUCCCAAGCCCUACAACUGCCUUUGUGUUACCUGGCAGUGUAUUUGGGACUGUUCAGUUGUUAAUUGCAGCGGUUGUCUCUUUAUUAGUAUAGGUUCUCAAGUCCUCCUAUUCAAUUUACAUUACAGCAGAGGGUCCUUGGGAUUGUUAAUUGUUAAUUAAAUGCUAAUUGUUAAUUGGUAAUUGUUAAUUCAAUGCUGCUGUUGUACCUUCUGGAAUUCCUGGGAUCCCAUCUUCUCCUACUCUGUUUACAUUAUCUGGGAGGAGUUUGGGGACUGUUAGAAGGUGCCACACUACUAAAUCGAGAAUUUUUUCUUAGUAUAGUUUACCAUGCCCUCCUAUUCUCUUUACAUUACAACAGAUGGUACUUGGGACUGUUAAAGUACUUAAUUGCAGGUGUGGUCCCGUCGGUUAGUCUAGGAUCUCAUUUCCUUCUCCCCUAUUAUUGAGAGCAGAUUUGGGAAUGUUACUUUGUAUAAUUAAAAUUGUCAUCCCUUCUAUUAGUCUAGUUUCCAGCCCCUUCCAACUCCCUUUGCAUUACCUAGGAACAGAUUUGGGACUGUAAUGUGCUCAUUUGCAGCUGUGGUCCCUUCUGUGAGUCAAGCAUCCCAUGCCCUCUAACUUUCUGUCCAUUACAGCAGAGGAUAUUUGGGACUUUUUUUUUUUUAAGGUUUUAUCUAUUUGACAGAGAGAGAGAGAGAUUGCAAGUAGGCAGAGAGGCAGGCAGAGAGAGAGAGGGAAGCAGGCUCCCUGCUGAGCAGAGAGCCCGAUGCUGGGCUCGAUCCCAGGACCCUGAGAUCAUGAUCUGAGCCGAAGGUAGAGGCUUUAGCCCACUGAGCCACCCAGGCACCCUGAUAUUUGGGACUUUUAAUGGGCUUAAUUGCUGUCCUGAUCCCUUUUAUUAACCUAGGAUUCUAUGUCUUCCAACUCACUUUGCAUUACCUGAGGAUGUAUUAGGGACUGUUUAAAUGCUCAGUUGGAGCUGCGGUCCCUUUUGUAUAUCUAGUUUUCCCAUGCCUUCCUCCUCUUUUGCAUUAUAGCAGUGGGUACUUGGGGCUGUUAAAGUACUUAAUUGCUGGCGUAGUCACUUUUGUUGGUUUAGGAUCCCAUCCCCUUCUACUCCCUUUACACUACCUGGGAGGAUUUUUGAGACCGUUAAAGUGCUCACUUGCACCUGUGGUGCCCUCUGUUGGUCUAGGAUCCGAUGUCCUCUAACUCCCUUUGCUGCAUUACAGCAAAUGGUACUUGGACUGUUAAUGUGCUUAAAUACAGGUGUGGUCCAUUUUGCUAGUCAUGAUCACCUCCUCCCUUUAUAUUACCUGGGAGCAGACUUGGUACUGAAAGGUGCUUAAUGCAGCUGCGUUCCCUUCUCUUAGUUUAGGAUCCUACACCCCCAACUCUUGCGUUAUAGCAGAGAGUACUUGGGCCUGUCAGAUUAUCACAGCUGUGGUACCUUCUGUUUUGAAGGAUCCCAUGCACACCAACUUCCUUUACAUUAUCUGGGAGUGUAUUUGGGAAGGAUAAAGUGCUUAACUUUGGCAGUGGUUCCCUUUGUUGGUAUAUUUUUCCACGCCCUCCUAUAGUCUCUGCAUUAUAGCAGAGGGUACUUAGGACUGUAGCUGUGCUUAAAUGCAGUUGUGGUCCCUUUUGUUAGUGUAGGAUCCCAUGCCCUCUCCUUUUACAUCACCUCAGAAGUGCUUGGGACAAUUAAGAUGUAUCCCAUUCACUCCUACCUUUUUAGCAUUACAGUACGGGUUUGCUGAAAACCAAGCCCCCCCCCUUCUGUAUUGUUAAUAGGCAUAAUUGUAUUUGUUCCUUUUCCUCUGCACUAGAUUUCUCUAAUUUCACUUGUAUUCAGCAGUGGAUGAACUUUAAUACCUUUGUACUAGGAUAAAGUGAACCAUGGUAAUUGAUAUACUGUGUCUUUCAUUAAGUCUCCCGUACGCUCUUUGAAUUAAUUACCUCAGUUACUUUUUUCUGGAACUAUUGGUGUGCAAAAUUCCAGUGUUUUUUUUUUUUUACAUCAAUUUUUUUUUUUUUACAUCAGGGGAUGCUAGUAUCCCAAAAUUCUUUCCUUGGGACUCUUAAUGUACAUACGCCCUCUUGAUAAGCUAAUGCCCUUACUUCGUAUUCUACUGGGGGGUACUGACCACCUACAGUCUUUCUGUUGGACAGUUAACGUGCCGUGUUGCACUGGGGUCCCAUCCCUAUCACACCUUCUCUGUCAGGGGUGCUGACCAACUAUGACUGCUUCUCCUGUGCAGUUUAAAUGUGCAUAAUUACAGGAAUCCUUGCUCCCUUAUGUUAGAAUAAGAUCUCAUUUCCUUGCCCCAUUUACGUUAUUGCAGGGGCUUCUGACUAGCCAAGAUUCACUCUCUUAGACUGUGUGCAUACUUAACAUUUGCUCUUAUACCUGUGCACCAGGUUAGGAUCCUCCCCAUACUGUUUAUAUUCCAGUGGGAGGUGCCUACUACUCAAGAUUUUACACACUAACGCAGUUAAUCUGCACAACCUUCGUUGUUUUGUACCCACUCAGUUGUCUACAACUGUACCUUUAAGUUCAGGACUUUGCCUUUACCAAAGUGGAGGUGACUGACCACAUUCAAGCAUUUCUCUUGGAACUGUGGCUGUGUGUAGUUUCAGUUGUCCACUCUCCUUUGAGUUAACUUGUCCCUGACUCUUCUCAGAACCUUUGAGGUACUGCGUGGGAUACUGUCAAUUUAAGGCCUCUUCCUCAAACUGUUAAUGAGUGUAAUGACAAUUAAAUUAGGAUUCUUCGCCUUUACACGGCCUUUGAAGUACUGCAGGGAAUUCUGACCCAUAAGGUCCCAUUUCUUGGCCUGUUAAGAUGCAUGAUUGUAUUUGUCUGGGUUCCUGUGUACUAGAGAAGAACACCUCUCCCCACUCCUGUCUGUUAUCUGUUAUGUAGGGAGUGCCCCCUCUAAGGCUGUUAUAUUUGAGCAGUCAAGGAGCACAGUUAUCUUUGACCACAACUACGCACCAUGGAUAUUAAUGUGCAUAACUACACAUGCUUCAUCCCAUUUGAAUAAGGUACUACCCUCUCAGACCCCUUUUGUAGUACAGCGGGGGUACUGAUCACUAAGGCCUUUUCUCAUGGCUUGUGAUUAUGCAUAAUUUCAUUUGUACAUGUUUUUGUACACUAAAUAAGGGCACCUCUCUCCCCACUCUCUUUACCUUUUAGCAGGGAGUUCCCAUUACUUAAUCCUUACAUUUGUACAAAGUACAUGGUUUUAAUUAACCAUACCAUAUCCCUUGGGCAUUAGUGUACAGGACUGCAGCUUAGUUCAUCCUACCCUGUUGUAUGUCAUUGAGUAUACCAGGGUUGCUGACCCCAACUUGUCCUAUUAAUGUGCAUAAUUACAUUUGUCCAGGUUCUUAUGCACUAGAUGAGGAGACCCCCUCACCCCCUACUUCUAAGCCUUCCAGUAGGUGGUGGUGCCCAUUGCUAAGACAUUUACAUCUGAAUAGUUAAUAUGUAGAAUUGUAGUUUUCCACAACUCUGUUACUUCCAGAACUAUCGUACCUCCUUUGCAGUGCUGCAGGAGAUACUGUUUUCUCCCAAAGUUCUUUCUAGUAAACUGCUAACAUUCAUUCCUCAAUUGAAAUUGUCUGUUGUCUUCAGUAGACUAAGGCCCUACACUCUCACCUUCCCUUUGCAAUACAGCAGAGUGUGCUGAUGAACUAAGGUCCUCUUUUGGGCUGUGAAUAUGUACAGCUGAAAUUUUCCCCUGUUUUAUGUACUCUAUAAGGACCCUACCUACUUUCUUAGCAUGUUUAGCAGGUAGUGUCCACUAUUUAAACUCUUUCACUUGGAAAGUUCAUGUGUAUAAGUGCAGUUUGCUAAGCACGUCUUAUACUAGAACCCCUGUACCCUCUUUGCUUUGGAGUAAGGAGAUGCAGUUUACCUCUAAUGCCCUUCUUUUGGACUUUAAUGUGUAUGAUUGCAAUUGUCCAUCUUUUCAUCCCCUCAAACCUCCUUUGCUUCAGGGGCAUGUUAACCAUAAAUUGCAUCCCAUCAAACCCCCUUUGCAUCAGGGGCAUGUUAACCAUAAAUGAGCUCUUCUUGAGAUUAUUAAUAUACAUACUUGUAUUUGUUUGUUGAUCUGUGCAGUGUGAAAGGAUGACCUCAGCUCUUGGACCAUUAAUAUGCACCACUAUCAAUUAUGGGACCUAUUGUACUCCCUUUGUAUUCAUUAGGGGUACUGACUAAGGUCUCUUUCUUGGACUGUCAAUGGGCAAUUAUCUAUGUUCCCUUCUGUUAGGUUUAGGAUAACAUUCCCUUAAAACCCCUUUGCAUUACUAUAGGGGUUGCUGAACACACAAAACUCCUGGGACUGUUAAUGGGCACAAUGGCAAUUAGCAAUGAAUUUUUCCUCCCUGGCCUUGUUAGAUAAACACUCCCAGCCCCAAUUUUGCAUGACAUAAUUAAGUAUAAACAUUGCAAUAUGCUGUGAACUUGUCUAUCAAAUAGCAACCCAUACUCCCUCUCCUUUUGUAUUGCUCCUAUGUAUAAAAUUCCAAGUACUCAUGGUCUUCCCCUUAUCAUCCCUCUUCCCAUCCCGUGCUCACCCUUGGACCCUUCCUAUGGACCUUUGUCACAGUUUCAGGUGUUCAUGUAUUCAGCCAUUGAAUAAGAUUGUCCCUCCGCUCUGCCCCCAUCCCUUGCCCCUUUUGCUUUAUUGCUGGGGAAUGUUGACUGAACAAGGCCCUUUCUCUUGGACUUAAUACAUUAGUAAUCCCUGAUGUCAUUGCUUUACCCACUUUAUAUUAUUGUAAUGCUUCAGUUGCACUUUCCUUGGUCCCACCCAUCAGACACGGACCCCUCCACUUCUUUGCAUUGCAUUGCUGACUGCCCAAAGUCCCUUCUAUGUUAACGCAGUACUGAUUGUCCCAUUUUUUUUUAGCUCAUCAGCCCAAGAUUUUCCUAUCACUUUGAUGUCAUGUGCAGUAUUGACUACCAAAAGCAGGCCUGAAUUAGGUGGAUGGACCUUCACUCUUUUUUCUGCACUUGUUAAUGAUGCAAUCCCAGUUGUCACAUUCUGGGACAGGAACCGUCCCUGCCCACCUCUGUUACUGCUUUACUAAGCAAAAUGCUCAAGGCAAGUCAGGCCUACAAAGCUGGAUUGCCACCCCUUAUUACUGAUUUUCAGUAUAAGUAUCAGUUGAAAAUUGUCUCCCCAGGAAGAAAGAUUAGCACCAUCUGUGCAUUCUUCCUUCCAGAGCAGAUUGCCUGGCCAAGAAUCUCUCUUCCUCUCUUGUAUAUUGCUAUUGUACAGUGCUGGUUGCCAGGAUACAAUUAAAAAAAUGCUGUUUGCAAAAUGGAAUUGUAAACCUGGUCAUUUAAUUUUUGAAGUCCAAAAACCCAUUUAUACCAUGUACUUGAUGACCAGUGUCUCUCAUUUUACUAUGGGUGGUGGGUCUGUGGAUAGACCACUAUGAAUCUUGCUAUUUUAAGUAUUCCCAAGAGUUCUAGAGUGGAACUCUUAAGACACAUAUCUUUGGGCUCUGCCACCAUUUAAAAACCAUUCUUUUUUUUUUUUUAAGAUUUUAUUUAUUUAUUUGAGAGAGAGUGAGAGAGAACAUGAGCGAGGAGAAGGUCAGAGAGAGAAGCAGACUCCCUGUGGAGCUGGGAGCCCUAUGCGGGACUCGAUCCCGGGACUCCGGGAUCAUGACCUGAGCCAAAGGCAGUCGUCCAACCAACUGAGCCACCCAGGCGUCCCUAAAAACCACUCUUUAUUUGGGCUUCAUCACCAUUCACUUUUAGAGAAACUACCUAAACUUUCUAGUCUUUAAAUUUCUUCAUCUGGAUCAUCAACCACCCCCCUACUUAUUUCAAGAAGAUUGCUUUCAAAGAAUGAACUGAGAGAACAUAUGCUGAGGCAUUUUUGAAAACCUUAGUUCACCUUACUUGAUUAACCUAUUACAUAUAUAAAAUGCACCCUGUUGAAUUCUGCUAAUCUAAAGUAGCCUGAAGCACUACACUGAAGUGAGGACUUAGGAAUGAUAGUAUCAAUUGCCCUGUUUUGUAUUAAAGGAGAAAUAAGCUAAGUUCUAAUCAUUCUUCUGGACAUAAAUUUCAACAGUGAGAUAGCUUCCUGGUAAAAUGAAUAAUAUCCUAGCUUCUAGUGUGCAGGGUGUGGCAGAGAAGUCUCUAAUGUGGAACUGCUGAAGCAAGUAACUAGUUAUCACAACGGCAGUUCUUUGUAAUCACUGAAAAAGGAUACUAUUCCUCUGACAAGGAUGUCAAAAGAUCCGCCCAGCUCAGGGUGCAGUAUGCACUACUAGCUCCUUGGACAACUGUAAGAAGAGUCUCUGGCUCUUUAGAAUACUGGAUGAAUUCUGAGCUGGUUCUGUAUCCCACUCGAGGAAGGAUGGAUCAACUUUAAGUGGAUUGAAGCCUGCACUAGAUGGCAUCCAAAGAUCUUCUUCAGAAGAAUAGGCUUGUUGCUCUACAGUGUUAGUGACCUGUUCCCUUUGACGAUCCCUAGGUGGAGAUGGGGCAUGAGGAUCCUCCAGGGGAAAAGCUCACUACCACUGGGCAACAACCCUAGGCCAGGAGGUUUUAUCAAGAUUCUUCCCUGGUCCCAGGGAGGAAGAUGAACUCUCAAAACCACCACCACCCUUCAGAGGAGAACAUGGGCAACUGCCACAUUUGUGACAUUGAUCAUGGGGAGAUCAUCAUUUUGGACCCUCUGGUCCCUAGAGUAUUUCUUGAAGCCUUGCUGGGGAAUUUUGACAAUCAUUUACAUAUGUCAAGAUGGCUUAGGAUGUCUUUGGGCUAAAACACAAAACAAGCUGUUUGAGAAGAUAAAUAGGAGUUGUAUGCUUGUUGAUUAAUGGAACCUGACCAGAAAUGGCACAAAGUUUCUGUUGUCAGGUCCUGAUUGUUCCUUCUUUUCUGCCAAAUCACUGUCUUCCCAAAACAGUGCAAAGUGCAAGAAAGUGAAACAUACCGAAGGAAGAUCAACAUGCCUGGCACACUAGCAUUUUAGAACAGCAGAAUGAAUGUGUAUUUCUUUGCUUGUCUAUUUCUUUCUUGAAUCUCUUUGGUUGUCUUUAAAAUGUGUCUUAGCCAUCCCAUGAUUCUCUUGCUAGUUUCUUCUCUGUGUAUCUUUGUCUCAGUCUGGUUUUUGUUCCUAAGAGUGAUCUGUGUCUUGUCUUAGAUGUCUCUCUCUAGUUUUGUUUCAUUUUGUUUUUUCAAUUUGUUACUGAUUCUCUUUGCUCUCCUAGAUCUGGCUCUUCUUUCUAUGUUCUUCCGUUUUGGUCUGUGUUGCAUGCUUGUGUGCUUUUUGUUCAUAACUUGUCCUGCCUAUACCUCUCUUCUUUUACUGUUGUGAACUCUGAUUGUUGGUCUUCCCUUCCCCUUGUUGUUGGCUUGACAUUUCACCUUUUUCUCAUUCUGGCUUUCCUCCUGCUUUUUCUACUAUUAUCUCACAUUUCUCUUUUCUGUAUAUUUUUUCUGUCUCUGUUGGGCCAUUUUCUCUUUCUUUCCUGCUGU
Long non-coding RNA from Mustela lutreola (European mink), 14809 nucleotides. RefSeq lists it as uncharacterized. Lineage: Eukaryota; Metazoa; Chordata; Mammalia; Carnivora; Mustelidae. The transcript has 6 exons. The record is from RefSeq and is a predicted model, not a curated record.